AGAGUUUGAUCCUGGCUCAGGAUAAACGCUGGCGGCGUGCCUAACACAUGCAAGUCGAACGCUCUUCGCAAGAAGAGAGUGGCGGACGGGUGAGGAACACGUGGAUUACCUGCCCUUUGGUGAGGAAUACCGGCGAGAAAUCGCCGACAAUACCGCAUAUCCUUCGCAAGAAGGAAAGCUCGUAAGAGCGCCAGAGGAUGGGUCUGCGUCUGAUUAGCUAGCUGGUGGGGUAAUGGCUCACCAGGGCGACGAUCAGUAGCUGGUCUGAGAGGACGAUCAGCCACACUGGGACUGAGACACGGCCCAGACUCCUACGGGAGGCAGCAGUGGGGAAUAUUGCGCAAUGGGCGAAAGCCUGACGCAGCGACGCCGCGUGAGCGAUGAAGCCCUUCGGGGUGUAAAGCUCUUUCGACGGGAACGAUAAUGACGGUACCCGGAGAAGAAGCUGCGGCUAACUACGUGCCAGCAGCCGCGGUAAUACGUAGGCAGCAAGCGUUGUUCGGAAUUACUGGGCGUAAAGAGUGUGUAGGCGGUGCUCUAAGUUUGGUGUGAAAUCUCCCGGCUCAACUGGGAGGGUGCGCCGAAAACUGGAAUGCUUGAACAUGGGAGAGGAAAGCGGAAUUCCUGGUGUAGCGGUGAAAUGCGUAGAUAUCAGGAGGAACACCUGCGGUGUAGACGGCUUUCUGGACCAUUGUUGACGCUGAGACACGAAAGCGUGGGUAGCAAACAGGAUUAGAUACCCUGGUAGUCCACGCCCUAAACGAUGCAUACUUGGUGUCGGCCAUUCAGUUGGUCGGUGCCGGAGCUAACGCGUUAAGUAUGCCGCCUGGGGAGUACGUUCGCAAGGAUGAAACUCAAAGGAAUUGACGG
This 870-nucleotide ribosomal RNA is filed under the name uncultured bacterium. RNAcentral's name for it is "bacterial SSU rRNA". It matches the Rfam family "Bacterial small subunit ribosomal RNA", at positions 8 to 916 of the family's 1533-position model. The record is from RNAcentral.